This 308-nucleotide ribosomal RNA is filed under the name uncultured bacterium. Its description in RNAcentral is "partial 16S ribosomal RNA". It matches the Rfam family "Bacterial small subunit ribosomal RNA", at positions 505 to 807 of the family's 1533-position model. The record is from RNAcentral.
GAGACAGCAGCAGCCGCGGGAAAACGAAGGGGGCUAGCGUUGCUCGGAAUUACUGGGCGUAAAGGGCGCGUAGGCGGACAGUUCAGUCGGGGGUGAAAGCCCGGGGCUCAACCUCGGAAUUGCCUUCGAUACUGGCUGUCUUGAGUAUGAGAGAGGUGUGUGGAACUCCGAGUGUAGAGGUGAAAUUCGUAGAUAUUCGGAAGAACACCAGUGGCGAAGGCGACACACUGGCUCAUUACUGACGCUGAGGCGCGAAAGCGUGGGGAGCAAACAGGAUUAGAUACCCCUGUAGUCCCUGUCUCUUAUAC